This 782-nucleotide non-coding RNA is filed under the name Thaumetopoea aff. pityocampa ENA. Lineage: Eukaryota; Metazoa; Arthropoda; Insecta; Lepidoptera; Notodontidae. The record is from RNAcentral.
AUAUAAAAAUUUUAUGAUUUAAAAAAUUUAUUUAAAAUUUAUUUUACAUGUAAAUUUUAGUGUUAAUUAUUCUUUGUUUAAAUAAUUGAGAAAUGUUUUAUAUAGUAAUUAAUAUUAAAAAUUUAAGAAAUUAAGAUUUAGUAAUAUAUAAAUUAAUAACAAAUUUUGUGCCAGCAGUUGCGGUUAUACAAGAGUUAAAUUAAAUUUUAUUGGUAAUUAAUUAAUAAAUUUGGGUUGUAGGUAAAAUUUUAAAUUAUUAGGUGAAAUUUUAAUUUAAUUAAAACUUAUUAAAAGUUUAUGAUUUAAUAAUUUUUAUAAUAAACUAGGAUUAGAUACCCUAUUAUUGAUUUUUAAAUUAAAAAUGCUAAAAUAGUAAAUGAUUUAAAAAUUGAAACUUAAAUAAUUUGGCGGUAUUUUAGUUUAUUUAGAGGAAUCUGUUUAAUAAUUGAUAGUCCACGAAUAAAUUUACUUAAUUUGUAAUUUUGUAUAUCGUUGUUAUAAAAAUAUUUUUUAAUAAAAAUAAUAUUUUAAAAUUUUUAUUUAAAAUUAAAUCAAAUCAAGAUGCAGAUUAUAAUUAAGAAUAUAAUGGAUUACAAUUAGUUUAAUUAAAAUGAAUAUUAGUUUUUAAUAAUUAAAUUGAAGGUGGAUUUAAAUGUAAUUUUAUUUAGUUUAAUAAAAUGAUUUAAAAUUAGAAUAUGUACAUAUUGCCCGUCGCUUUCAUAUAAUUAAAUUGGGAUAAGUCGUAACAAAGUAGAGGUACUGGAAAGUGUUUCUAGAAAGUU